RNAcentral lists this long non-coding RNA (4109 nucleotides) under Glycine max (soybean). RNAcentral's name for it is "long non-coding RNA (GMAX_LNC004429)". The record is from RNAcentral. Lineage: Eukaryota; Viridiplantae; Streptophyta; Magnoliopsida; Fabales; Fabaceae.
AGUAUAUGCUGCCGUAUUUUGCAUACUUAUUUUUCUGACAAAAAGAAAUUUUAAUUUGACGAAUUAUAAAUCGAAUAUAGAAUUUUUGAAACAAUUCUCAAUUCCCAAUCUAAACAAUAUGAUAAUACAUAGUAACAUCAAAUAAAUGCGUUGUUUGCCUUUAAUUCCAUUUGAUCCUUCUUUGGAAACAUAAGAAAAGACAGCGCAUAUGAAAGCAAAUUAAAUUAACGAACUUUUAACAUUGAAAAUUUAUACUGCUCCUCAAAGUCUCCUUUUCAAUUCUCCUACUUCUCACGAAAUAUUUGAAAUAGUGUACGUGCUUGUUUUGGGAAAGCAUGAAUUGUUUUUAGAGGUGAAGUUGAAAACUUUUGCAAAUCAAAUAUUCAGAGUCAGGACACAAUCAACAGUAUGAGCAACUCUUAUACCAAAAAUGUGAUUUUAUAGUAUAUAUACGCCAGAAACAAUUGUGUCUGCCUAAAUACAAAAUAAAGGGUGGGGAUUUUAGAUGAAUGCUUAUUAUAUGGCCGCACAUGAAAUCCUAAAAUUAGUGGUAAAUUAACAUAAGUUUUGCUGUAAAAUGAAAAGAGCUAUAUAAUUCUUUUGGUAUAACAAAACAAACUGUUAUAUGUAUAUAAUUUCAAGCUGAUGGUUUGAGAAAUUCCUUUAAGUUGAUUCUCCAAACUUGCAAUCAUAUUAGUUUUUAUUUAUUUAAGGUAAUUAAAAAAUAUCAUAGUUAAUCUUCCAAACCUGUUUUAAUUUUAUUAAAUUAGUCCACAAAAAAAUUAAAAUAUCAUUAUAUUCAUAUCCUUAUGAAAAAAUAAAGUGGUAUAUAGGACCUAAAAGAAUAUUUGAAAGACUAAUUUGAUGACAAAUAAAAUCUUUUGGCGAAACAAAUUUUAGUGAUAAAAUUUUAAAAGAUUAACAUAUAUAAUAAUGGUUUUAAAUUAUUGAUGUAAUAAUUUGAAGCCAAAGUUUUUCUACAAAACUUUAAUGUCAUAAUUAAUGUAUGUAACAAACUUUAUACGACAAAUAUGAAGAUUUACUGGUACUUCUAUUCUAAAUCUGCUGCCUCAAAGAGAUAAGAUAACAUCGAAUCACAUGUUCGGUUAUACAACUAGCUAGUUGAAGAUAGUAUAUAUAAAGCUAUUUACGAACAGUUUGCUACCUUGUUUGCAUUUAUCUCACUUUGCUCCCCCACUUUCUUUAAAUUCCAUUUGUGAUCAGACAAAGCCAAGAAAAUAUCUUAAUUUAGUGAGCAAGAACAUAAGAAACGUAUAGGAGUAUUAAAAAACAAUAUAUCCUUAACCUCAUUGAGAUCACACCAAGCUUAAUAUAUAGGAAAGUCUUCAACUGCUGCUAUAAAUUAAAUGUGUCACAAAAACUUACAUUGUGCAAUUACCUGGAUAUAGAAACCAGAAAUACCAUAAGAAAAAUAUAUAAAUAAAAUAAAAGCUCAAACUACAAAUAAGUGCAUGCCAAAUGUCCAAAACUAUGCAACAACAUUAGCUUUUUGUUAAACUAUAACAAUUAGAGAAAUUGAAAUCCAUAAUUAAAGUUAAGUUCCUCAACUUCACAUCUAUGAUCUAUGUAUGGCAAAGGCAUAUGAUUCUCCCAACCCUUCUCCAAAAUUUUCUUUUGAUAAUAAAUUUGAUGGCAACACUAUGUAAAAUCAAAUCUGACUUAUCUGUUGUCUUUUUUUAUGCUGUCUAUGUGUUACCUAUUAAAAUUAUAAUACAUAAUAGUUGUGUUAAUAUUUAAUGGUGAUAUUUAAUUUUAAAAAUUAUAAAAACGAUAUAAUUUUAAAGGAUAAUAUAAGAACAGCAUAGAAUCCUAAUCAACCAAAACUAUGUACUCAAAAGGACAAUUAAUAGAGCUCAAACUUAUUGAUCAUACCCUGUCAGUCUAUCCUCCUCGAUCUUACGGAUUCCUCUGAAAAACUAAGAACGAGGUGAUGGCGUCGAGCCCAGAUCUACAAUAAUCACACUUCAUAAUCCUCUAGCUAAAUAAUAUAAACUAUAUCAGAAGAGCUUACCACUAGCUGCAUAUUGUGAAUUCAAAUUUCAGAAAAUAAAAACUUAAACCAUAUACAGUUGAUACAUAUAUAGACUCUUAUUUCCUGUGGCCAAAAAGAAAUUUAACUGCACACAUAAAUCCAAUAAAUAUUGUAGGUAUAUAGACCUAUCCACCAGCCGAUACAGCUUCUCAUAUCAAUAUUGCAAAUUGCAAUUCACUUCCUUUAUUAGCAAUAAUAAUAAGAAUAAGAAUAAGAAUAAUGCAACCAUCAAUACCUAAUAAUAAAUUUUCUAAUUAAGACAAACAAUUAAAUACACAUAUUUUAUAUAUACCUAUAUCCACUCCAGUAUAAGUUGUAUCCGUUGUGCACCAUCUUUCUUUUCCUCAAAAUCUUCCUUCUGCUGAAAAAACUGCUAAAACUGCAAUCUAGUAACUUCGAAACUGUAUAAAGUGGCCAAAAAUUAGUACGGCAUUGACAAGUAAAGGGGAAAAGACAUAGGAGGGGGGUUUCUAUGCGCAGAAGAUAGGGUUACAGACACAAAGGGGCAAUUAGAGAGAUGCGAGUACGUGUCCGAUCGGAAGAAUUGGUAUAAUAUUAUUCAAUGUUAACUGUGUCUGUGAGAGUUACUGGUUAGCAUAAUAUGGUUAUUUAUAAGUUACAGUACAACUUGACAUGUUGGUUUGUUAUUUUCAAUGCUACUCAUAGCUGUUGUACGGAAAUUCAAGAAGAUCUCAAAUUCUCAAAUCUCUAUGAUGAAGUAAGAUCAACAUGGAAGUAAAGAAAAAGUUUAGAACAUAUUAAUAUUUCAUGAAUAAAUUACAAAAAUGUAACCAGUAAUAUUAGGGGAACCUAUAAUUGAAAAAACGAAUACAAUUAAUUAUAAAUUAAAAAUGAUUUUAAGUUUUUGGUUGAAAUGACGAGUAAAAGUGAAGAAGCCCCACAUUAUAUAUAUGAUGUGGUAGAAAAGAUUUACACACUUAGAGAAUGUUUGGAUACAUUAGAAUCACAUUGAAUGAAAAAAUCAUAUUUUCUAAAGAAAAAAUGUUAAAGUAAUUCUGUUAUAACUUUUAUUUAAAAAUUUGUUGGUGUUAGAUUCAACUAUUUCUUAAACAAACAUUUAAUGUAUGUCUAAAUUUUAAGUUAGAUGUAAGUAACAAAUUUGUUUGGAUUGUGAUCUCCACAAUAUUAUACUCUCGUAUUUCUCAAUAUCUUCAAGUAAAUUAAUUAAUUAAAUGUGAUUAGUUAUCAAAUCUUUUACGGCAACUUGUAUGAUAGUCAAUUUUGCGUGAGAUAUAUUCUCUCAAUAUUUCCUAUAUCGACCUCUCCAUCACUUAUUUAUUUUUUAUUUUUAAUAAUUAGUGAUACAAUAUUUUCCAAUUUUAUCCUUUAUAUUUCUGAAAAUGUUGUUAUACAUAAAUAAACUGAGGAAAAUCGUAUAAUACAACCGUAUGAAUACUUUAGGAUCUACAAUUUAAUUUGGUUUAAAUAAGUAAUUGUUAAUCCUUAAAAUAUGUCAUUUUUUUGUUUUAAUCUCUAUAAAAAGUUUAUUCAGUUUUAAAUUGAAAUUAAGAUUAAAUCAAAUCUAAUCAAAAUCAAGUAGUGGAUUCCUAUCCUGUUUUCUACUCGGAAGAAUUUGGGCUGUAUAGACGCGUCACGUACGUAUUCAACAUGUACAAUAGAUAUAUAGUACUAGUAGCAGAAAGGGUCAACGAGGUGGAAGGGAAUUUUAGGAAAACGUUAAAAUUAAUCAUGGGAGCUAAACAAUAAACCAAACAAUGCAAAACAAAAAUAGACAAGAUGAUGUGAGAAACUGAAACAACCAAGAAAAAAAAGCCAAAUAAAUUAAAUACUUACAUGCAUGUAUGCCCUGUUCUUAGUGAAGCCACUCCUGGUUUUAGAUACAGAGCAUGGUCAAUAUUCACUAACUAAGAAGGCAGAGAUGGUAGAGACUAGAGAGUUUGUAGCAUGAUCGAGGAUCUCUCAUAUACUUAAUUGGUGCGUCAAAGUGAAUUGAUUAAGGUAGCUAUAGCAGCCUUAAUUUUGUGAGUUAGCUAGAGACAGAACACUAUGGUACGUUUGUAUGAAUUUGAAAUUG